This 497-nucleotide ribosomal RNA is filed under the name uncultured bacterium. RNAcentral's name for it is "partial 16S ribosomal RNA". It matches the Rfam family "Bacterial small subunit ribosomal RNA", at positions 28 to 507 of the family's 1533-position model. The record is from RNAcentral.
GAUGAACGCUGGCGGCGUGCCUAAUACAUGCAAGUCGAGCGAACAGACGAGGAGCUUGCUCCUCUGACGUUAGCGGCGGACGGGUGAGUAACACGUGGAUAACCUACCUAUAAGACUGGGAUAACUUCGGGAAACCGGAGCUAAUACCGGAUAAUAUAUUGAACCGCAUGGUUCAAUAGUGAAAGACGGUUUUGCUGUCACUUAUAGAUGGAUCCGCGCCGCAUUAGCUAGUUGGGAAGGUAACGGCUUACCAAGGCAACGAUGCGUAGCCGAGCUGAGCGGGUGAGCGGGCACCCGGGAACGGAGACACGGACCGGCCCACCAGGAGCGGCAGAGGUUAGGCACCUUCCGCCAUGGGCCAAAGCUUCACAGAGCGGGGGCGCUGGAUGGCUGAAGGGCUUGGGGGCGUAAAACUCUGUGAGUAGGGAAGACCAAAUGUGUAAGCAACUACACACGUCUUGACGGUACCUAAUCAAAAAGCCACGGCUGACUACGUU